This 253-nucleotide ribosomal RNA is filed under the name uncultured bacterium. RNAcentral describes it as "partial 16S ribosomal RNA". It matches the Rfam family "Bacterial small subunit ribosomal RNA", at positions 524 to 776 of the family's 1533-position model. The record is from RNAcentral.
UACGUAGGUGGCAAGCGUUGUCCGGAUUUACUGGGUGUAAAGGGCGUGCAGCCGGAGAGACAAGUCAGAUGUGAAAUCCACGGGCUCAACCCGUGAACUGCAUUUGAAACUGUUUCCCUUGAGUGUCGGAGAGGUCAUCGGAAUUCCUUGUGUAGCGGUGAAAUGCGUAGAUAUAAGGAAGAACACCAGUGGCGAAGGCGGUUUAUUGGACCACAACUGACGCUGAGACACGAAAGCGUGGGGAGCAAACAGG